UAGGGAAUCUUCGGCAAUGGACGGAAGUCUGACCGAGCAACGCCGCGUGAGUGAAGAAGGUUUUCGGAUCGUAAAGCUCUGUUGUUAGAGAAGAACGUUGGUAGGAGUGGAAAAUCUACCAAGUGACGGUAACUAACCAGAAAGGGACGGCUAACUACGUGCCAUCAGCCGCGGUAAUACGUAGGUCCCGAGCGUUGUCCGGAUUUAUUGGGCGUAAAGCGAGCGCAGGCGGUUCUUUAAGUCUGAAGUUAAAGGCAGUGGCUUAACCAUUGUACGCUUUGGAAACUGGAGGACUUGAGUGCAGAAGGGGAGGGUGGAAUUCCAUGUGUAGCGGUGAAAUGCGUAGAUAUAUGGAGGAACACCGGUGGCGAAAGCGGCUCUCUGGUCUGUAACUGACGCUGAGGCUCGAAAGCGUGGGGAGCAAACAGG
This 429-nucleotide ribosomal RNA is filed under the name Bacillota bacterium. RNAcentral's name for it is "Firmicutes bacterium partial 16S ribosomal RNA". It matches the Rfam family "Bacterial small subunit ribosomal RNA", at positions 355 to 776 of the family's 1533-position model. The record is from RNAcentral. Lineage: Bacteria; Bacillati; Bacillota.